UAGAGUUUGAUCAUGGCUCAGGAUGAACGCUAGCGACAGGCUUAACACAUGCAAGUCGAGGGGCAGCGGUGGUGAAGGCUUGCCUUUACCAGCCGGCGACCGGCGCACGGGUGAGUAACACGUAUGCAACCUGCCUGCCACAGCCGGAUAAUCGGGAGAAAUUCCGUCUAAUACGGCAUAAUGCACCUAUGGGACAUCCUGUUGGUGCCAAAGGUUAAUUCCGGUGGCGGAUGGGCAUGCGUCGCAUUAGUUAGUUGGCGGUGUAACGGACCACCAAGACGACGAUGCGUAGGGGUUCUGAGAGGAAGGUCCCCCACACUGGUACUGAGACACGGACCAGACUCCUACGGGAGGCAGCAGUGAGGAAUAUUGGUCAAUGGGCGGGAGCCUGAACCAGCCAAGUCGCGUGAGGGAUGACGGCCCUAUGGGUUGUAAACCUCUUUUGCCGGGGAGCAAAGUGCCGCACGUGUGCGGUUUGGAGAGUACCCGGAGAAAAAGCAUCGGCUAACUCCGUGCCAGCAGCCGCGGUAAUACGGAGGAUGCGAGCGUUAUCCGGAUUUAUUGGGUUUAAAGGGUGCGUAGGCGGACGCUUAAGUCAGCGGUAAAAUUGCGGGGCUCAACCUCGUCGAGCCGUUGAAACUGGGUGCCUUGAGUGGGCGAGAAGUACGCGGAAUGCGUGGUGUAGCGGUGAAAUGCAUAGAUAUCACGCAGAACUCCGAUUGCGAAGGCAGCGUACCGGCGCCCAACUGACGCUGAAGCACGAAGGCGUGGGUAUCGAACAGGAUUAGAUACCCUGGUAGUCCACGCAGUAAACGAUGAAUGCUAGUUGUCCGGGGCGAUUGAGUUCUGGGUGAC
This 855-nucleotide ribosomal RNA is filed under the name uncultured bacterium. Its description in RNAcentral is "bacterial SSU rRNA". It matches the Rfam family "Bacterial small subunit ribosomal RNA", at positions 1 to 847 of the family's 1533-position model. The record is from RNAcentral.